Molecule: long non-coding RNA, 3117 nt
Filed under: Medicago truncatula (barrel medic)
Lineage: Eukaryota; Viridiplantae; Streptophyta; Magnoliopsida; Fabales; Fabaceae
Description: long non-coding RNA (MTRU_LNC003996)
Source: RNAcentral
AAACAUUCAUUAAAAGCCUUACCCAGUGGCCCUCAUCCAACAAAUAUUCUUUUAUGAACACAAUUUCUCAUUAGAAAAAACACAGAUUUAUUUUUAAAUAAAAAAAUGAAACUUUUCCUUAGUACAAACAAUCCAACCACACACUGUCCAAUCCAACCACACACUACAAUACGAAUGAAUUUUCACUUUAUCCAACAACUGAUCAAUACUGUUUUUCUUGUGGCUAAAUAGUCUAUUAUUAUGUUCCACAUGAAAGACAAAUGAGCUGCAUAAAAGAUCGCUGCGCAACCAACCCACCUGUAGAAUAAGUAAACUGAACAAAAUGACCAGAAAUACUAUAAGGAUCGGUCAUGGAAACACCUAUCCAAUCACGGACUAAAUGCCAAAGAUCCCUGAUAAUUGUACGAGAAAGAAAUAAAUAUUGAGCCGUUUCGAUUUCUCCACACCUGGUCAUACACAAAUGCGUGUCAUGAUUUAGGAUUCCAUGCAUCACCAAAUUUUGGACAAUACCGUUGCCUAAGGAAGAAAGGAGUGUCGAAGGAAGAAUUCAACCUGAAGGUUGAAAAUCAGAAGGAAAUUAAGAAGCCUUAAGGACAGGGGCUACCGAGCACAAGUUAGACAUAUCUGUCAAGCUCAUGACAUAAAAAACGCGCUCAAUAGGAGACAACCUAUUCCGUCAAGCUAAGGACUCAAAAGAAGCGUUGAAUAUAAGACAACUUAUUGAUCGUCGGGACUAAGACAUUAAACAAUCGCUAAAUGGGAGGCAACCCAUUAGUUUAUCUUUUCUGCAUUUCUAUUUUUUGCUAAGUUAUGAUUUCCUAACUAAUGUCAUUUCUUAUUCUGCUACUAAUACUUAAGUUUUAUCUUAUAAAAUUGUAUUUUUUUUUUUUUUUUUGCAUUUACAAAUACAACAAUUUCUUUUAUGCUUUAAUUUUGUUUUAGUUUUAGGAAGUCACUUCAAAGUGUUCACAGUGGAGGCUAGUUUACUUCAAGAGCACAAUACUUUUUGGGGCUUGCUACUGAAGGUACUUAUAGGAUCAACAUCUCUUUUCUGAAUGCUAUUUUUUCUCGAAUUUGCUGUCGUUCUUUACGGACGAUCAGUUAAAAUAUAAUAAACAUAAGACAUUUUUUUCUUUGGUACCUUGAUACUUUCAAGCCACCCUUUUUAUAUUCUUAUUAUCCUUUUUGAAACCACUUUGAGCCUUCAGAAGAUAUUUCUUUCUUAUUACUAAGUGACGAAUCAUGUCACAGUCCUGAACUUUAAAAUCACCUUGUUUGAUUUCUCUUGGAGUUAGAUAUGAUAUUAUCUUGACUGUGUAUGGUUUGAUGCUUAGUUUGACGUUGCUCUUUGGAAUUAACAACAUUUUAUGUUUGGGGUGGGGUAAUGAUGGUCGGAUUAGGCAAGUGUACCCAAUCGUUUACCGAGUACUAAAGUGAUAAGUAGAGUAUCGUAUCCACAUGGGUUGUCGUUUCUUCGAAAUAAUUCGUGUUACUUAUUUUAAAUUGACGAUAUAAAAUAAAAGAGAUAAGGGUUAGAAAUUGCAAUUUUUAUAAGUUUGCAACAUAGCAAGUUACCUGUUUUUUGUUACAUAAAAGGAAACAGCGGUUAGGACUCUUUAAAUCCCCUCUAUUUACUUUGUUGGAUAUUGAAUAACAUUCAUUAAUAGACUAUACAAGUGAUGAGAUUGUUGGGACAUUCUAGCCUAAUCGGUUGUCAAGUUGCACCUGCUUAUCGCACAGUGAUCCUUACGUGUGGGGUCUAUACUAUCUCGGUUGAUUUAGGUUUAUCCCUCUGAUGGCUAACUGCACUUGACGAUCGCACAGUGAUCCUUACGUGCGGGGUCUUGCUAAUUCAAAGGUAAUUGAAACAUAUACUUAAAUUGGCAUUCCAGGUUUUCCAAAGGCAAUGAAGGCCAAUGUUGCAGUAGGUCAGCCCAUCUGUUAAUCUUAGGACACUCAUAACACACUCUCAUUUUCCCCUAAGUAGUUAUACAAACGAGCAGCCCUAUCAACAUCUACCUUACCUAGAGGUCGGGGACAAUGGUUUUAUUUAGGUUUAUUUCUCUUGGUGUUUGUUUCCCUAAUUACUAAACUAGCUACAUCCGAGGUUCAACAUAUUUUACUCAAUAUUAAUAAUGUCACAUCCUAAGUACCUACUACUAGGGUCAACUCUCUUUUGGUAUCUUUCGCUAGUUUACUAAUCAUCUACUUUCUAGACGGAUAAUUACUAGUAUAAGGAAAUAAAUAUCAAGAUAUAAGCAUCCAGAUAGUAAUAGAAAUGUCAAGCCCUCUCACGAAGUAAGUAUCUAAUCUAGGGUUGCACCCCGCCAUAAUAUAUUAAUCUUAAGCAAAACUUAACAGCAAAUAAAAAAUAUAUUAAAAUAAAAUGACAUUAAAUUAAAUAAUUAUCCAACAAACGCAAACCGAUGUUCAUCUUAGAACCCUAACCUAUAGAUAUCUAGUUACACAUGAUAACUAAGACAAAAAUACAAAAAGAUAAAAAUAUAUCCUAGAAAAUAUAGGAGAAGAUAUAACUCCUCCUUGACUCCUAUAAUAGCCUUCCUAUUGAACUGCUCAAGUUCUGAACGAGAAAUUGUGAAUGAGGAAGACUAUAUUUGUAUAGAAAGUUUUCACCUAACUUGGACUAAAAUCACAAACUUCUAGGGACGAAAAAGUCACGAAAAAUGAUUUUUUUCGCAAAACUCAUGUGUCCCGCGCCUAGAGUCAUGCGCCUAGCGCAUGUGCCUGGAUCUUUCAUGCGCCAGGAGCUUACAAAUUGCUAUGAAUGUGGCAAGUCUUAUAAAAGCUAAUCUUAUUAUCUAAUCCUAAACUACAAUGCAAACAAAACAUCAAAAACCCUAAUCCUAUGUUUUGAGUGGGAAACUAAUGCUUUAACCUCACUUAAUGCCAUUUUUGAAUUUCAAAUCAUGUACCCUUUUGGAAUGUGUGCUCAUGUGGCUAAUUAAAUGCAGAUUUUGAAAUUCAAAUAUCCCACCUAUUGGAAUUGUGCUCCCUUCUUUCCAAGACAUGCAGUUACCCACUUCCCAAUGCAAAGGAAUCUGAACCAAACAACUACUUCCUUGCAUUUUGCUCUCUCUCCCCUUUCACGCCCAUUUU